CCGGGCUGAAGACUCUGCUUGACUAGCUGAGAGGAGGUGCGAUGGCCGUCGUCAGUUCGUACUGUGAAGCAUCCUGUUAAGUCAGGCAACGAGCGAGACCCACGCCAACAGUUGCCAGCAUGUCCUCCGGGAUGGUGGGGACACUGUUGGGACCGCCUCUGCUAAAGAGGAGGAAGGAAUGGGCAACGGUAGGUCAGCAUGCCCCGAAUUAUCCGGGCUACACGCGGGCUACAAUGGUCAGGACAAUGGGCAUCAACACCGAAAGGUGAAGGCAAUCUCUUAAACCUGUCCUUAGUUCGGAUUGUGGGCUGCAACUCGCCCACAUGAAGCUGGAAUCUGUAGUAAUCGCGUCUCAAAAUGGCGCGGUGAAUAUGUCCCUGCUCCUU
This 386-nucleotide ribosomal RNA is filed under the name uncultured Methanolinea sp. Its description in RNAcentral is "bacterial SSU rRNA". It matches the Rfam family "Archaeal small subunit ribosomal RNA", at positions 954 to 1338 of the family's 1478-position model. The record is from RNAcentral. Lineage: Archaea; Methanobacteriati; Methanobacteriota; Methanomicrobia; Methanomicrobiales; Methanoregulaceae.